ACAGGUUGUAAGUCAAUGGCGAAACACGUAUCGCGAUCACUGUAGUAGCCAGCUCCGGUCGGUAGACCUGCCCAGUACGGGAAAAUGCGGGUUCGAGUCCCGCCGCCUGUC
This 111-nucleotide transfer RNA is filed under the name Advenella mimigardefordensis DPN7. RNAcentral describes it as "tRNA-Tyr (GTA) (tRNA-Tyr-GTA-2-1)". The record is from RNAcentral. Lineage: Bacteria; Pseudomonadati; Pseudomonadota; Betaproteobacteria; Burkholderiales; Alcaligenaceae.